Molecule: long non-coding RNA, 2352 nt
Filed under: Ananas comosus (pineapple)
Lineage: Eukaryota; Viridiplantae; Streptophyta; Magnoliopsida; Poales; Bromeliaceae
Description: long non-coding RNA (ACOM_LNC039880)
Source: RNAcentral
GGGGUGAGAACUAACUUCCUUAGUUCCCAGUGGGUUCGGCCGCCGACUCCGCCGAUCUCCCCACUAGGUCCAAGUUGGGCACAAGUAGAUAAUCGAUAGAUAGAUAGAUAAGGAAAGCGGUAAAUGACAGAAGUAAAGCUACUCUACUAUGCCCAAUCAUAAAUAUAUGAAUGCAUGUACAAUGAAAUAGGUAAGCAACUAACCUGUUAUCAUGUCCAAAGGUGAAGCUAUUCACUCGUUCAUUAACCUCAUUUACUUGUUCAUUAAUCUCAUGGCUUACCCGAAGGCUCGCCUACAGCUCACUAGCCAUCUCGACGCGUAGGGAGAAUUAACUCAUACUACGAACCCGAGACCGUCUGGCGGGGCCAAAAUAGGCAAUCCCUUGGGACCCAAAAUAGGCAAUCCCACGUGACCAACUCCGGAGCGCACUACUUGUGUGGGGCUUCCAUCACAAGAUUUAAAAACAGACCGUGAGCAUGAUCCAAUCCUCGUCUCGAGAAUACCCUAUCCUCUAGGGUUACAAUCAUCAUAUAGUCCAUAGGUUUCAUAUACACUACGACUCACAUAUGUCACUUGUUCUUUUGUUUACUAUCAACUAGAUGCCACUCGUUCUUUACAAGUUUCCAAUGCAAUAGCCAAUACAUUACUAAAUUCCCAUCCACACUUAUCAUCUCAUUAUAGGGUUCCACAUCACAUAUAUAAACCUCAAGCAUGCUAGAUAUAAGUACUAAGCCAAAUACAUUAUUCUACCAAAGAACAUGCAAGGUAUAGGACCAAACCAUCAUUUAUCACCCUAUAAUGCAAGAUGUCAAUAUGCAAUUUGAUCAAUAUAAAACUUAGACAUAAAAGGGAGUCCGGUUGCUUCGGGAUGGACACCACCCACCUUUUAUCGCGUUCCGAUUGCUCGUCGUCACUCGCAAUCGGCCUCCCGCGGCUCACGCCGCUCGGCUCGACCCAAACCACACGCGACCACCGAACGACCUCCGAUCCGCGAUCCGGUUAUUAAAGGUCUUCGGUUCUUCGUUACGAUGCUCGGAAUUCGAUCUCACUAUUUAUGGAAGCCGCCUCGGCUCCUCGGGUCAAUACGAACCCACGGACACUUGUUUCAGCCGGAACGUCGCACCCGCUCGACGAAUCGACGAACCGUCGCUUCCCACGCGUUCGGACACCUAUCAAUUAGGUUUAUAUAGGGUUAAUAGAGAUCAAACCCAACUAUUUACAAAAAACCCCAUUAUGAAGCCCUAGAUGCCGUUGAUGCUAAAUACCCCAAAUCAAUCCAAGAUUUAGGUAAUAAUUUAUUUUACUAGCAUCCUAGGAUUCCAAAAACACCACUUGUAGAGAUCAAAACCCAUGAUCUAUCAAGAAAUCCAAUUCAAGCCCUAGGUUUACAACUAGGCAAUAAACCACUAUUAGAGCUUUGGAUUUAAGCAUAAUCCAUCUAAUUAGCAUCUAGGAAGGCUACUAAACCCAUUUCUAAAGCAUUAGGAUCAAACUCUAGAAAUCUACCAUGAGAGGGUAUCAAGCUUACCUCUCUAGGUUUGCUCCAAGGGUGAGAGGAAGAAGAAGAUGAUGAUGGUGAUGAUGCUUCUCUUCUUCUCCUCCCUCGUCUUCUUCUCCUUUCUUCUCUUAUCCUCUUUCUUCUUCUCUUUCUUUUCUUUCUAGAGAGAGAGAGGGAGAGUUUUAGGGUGAGAGGGAAGGGAGAAAAGGCCCAUCUCUCUUCUAUACACUCACAUGAGUGCAAAAUUGCAUAAAAACCCCUCAACAAUGCAUCUCUCGCCACAGCCCAAAAUGGGCAUUUUCGCGCUCGGGACCGGUCCUUGCGAUGAGAGACUGGUCCCUGAGAGACCGGUCCUUGGCUGAGAGACCGGUCCCCGAAGGUCCAGAACUCAGCCUCAAGAACUUAGCCAAAUUUUCAGCAUUUUCGCCCGUUUUCGUCCGUUUUUGCAGUUCGGAACAGUUGGAGCCCUUCCAAAUGUCCGUUUAAGCUCAAAUUUGACAGACAGACUCAGUUUAACGUAUUGAGUAAGAAUAUAUUUUAAGUUUUCAGUUUCAACCCCAUUUGGUCACCGAAAACUGUGCCGAACUGUAAUCUUUAUCAGAUAACUCUCGGAUUUUAUUUCUCACUCUACAGGUGUCAGAAAAAUAUGAAACUUUAAAUCUAGCCUCAUAAAAAUAUUUCUGACUUAUCCUCUAAUUUUCAUAAUUUUCUGAGACUGUGCAUUUUCUGCUAAUUUAUCUGUCCCGUUUCCAACAGAAAAUUCUAGAUCUUCUAUUUUCAUUCCGAUUUCGGCACAAGUCAAUUCUGACUUAUGUUUUACUUCUACAAAUCCAAUAAAAAUAGUUCUCACACUA